Molecule: ribosomal RNA, 253 nt
Filed under: uncultured bacterium
Lineage: Bacteria
Description: partial 16S ribosomal RNA
Rfam family: Bacterial small subunit ribosomal RNA
Source: RNAcentral
UACGAGGGGUGCUAGCGUUAUUCGGAAUUACUGGGCGUAAAGGGUGUGUAGGCGGUUUGUCAAGUCUGCUGUUAAAUUUUCCAGCUUAACUGGAACUCUGCGGUAGAAACUGGCUAACUAGAGUAUGGAAGAGAGAGGUGGAAUUCUCGGAGUAGCGGUAAAAUGUGUAGAUCUCGAGAGGAACACCGAUGGCGAAGGCAGCCUCUUGGUCCAUUACUGACGCUGAUACACGAAAGCGUGGGUAGCAAACAGG